This 983-nucleotide ribosomal RNA is filed under the name Salmonella enterica subsp. enterica serovar Bovismorbificans. Its description in RNAcentral is "partial 23S ribosomal RNA". It matches the Rfam family "Bacterial large subunit ribosomal RNA", at positions 1214 to 2179 of the family's 2925-position model. Lineage: Bacteria; Pseudomonadati; Pseudomonadota; Gammaproteobacteria; Enterobacterales; Enterobacteriaceae. The record is from RNAcentral.
UUAUGCGUUGUUGGGUAGGGGAGCGUUCUGUAAGCCUGCGAAGGUGGCCUGUGAGGGUUGCUGGAGGUAUCAGAAGUGCGAAUGCUGACAUAAGUAACGAUAAAGCGGGUGAAAAGCCCGCUCGCCGGAAGACCAAGGGUUCCUGUCCAACGUUAAUCGGGGCAGGGUGAGUCGACCCCUAAGGCGAGGCCGAAAGGCGUAGUCGAUGGGAAACGGGUUAAUAUUCCCGUACUUGGUGUUACUGCGAAGGGGGGACGGAGAAGGCUAUGUUGGCCGGGCGACGGUUGUCCCGGUUUAAGCGUGUAGGUGUGUGUUCCAGGUAAAUCCGGUUCACUUUAACACUGAGGCGUGACGACGAGGCACUACGGUGCUGAAGCAACAAAUGCCCUGCUUCCAGGAAAAGCCUCUAAGCAUCAGGUAACAUCAAAUCGUACCCCAAACCGACACAGGUGGUCAGGUAGAGAAUACCAAGGCGCUUGAGAGAACUCGGGUGAAGGAACUAGGCAAAAUGGUGCCGUAACUUCGGGAGAAGGCACGCUGACACGUAGGUGAAGUGAUUUACUCAUGGAGCUGAAGUCAGUCGAAGAUACCAGCUGGCUGCAACUGUUUAUUAAAAACACAGCACUGUGCAAACACGAAAGUGGACGUAUACGGUGUGACGCCUGCCCGGUGCCGGAAGGUUAAUUGAUGGGGUCAGCGCAAGCGAAGCUCCUGAUCGAAGCCCCGGUAAACGGCGGCCGUAACUAUAACGGUCCUAAGGUAGCGAAAUUCCUUGUCGGGUAAGUUCCGACCUGCACGAAUGGCGUAAUGAUGGCCAGGCUGUCUCCACCCGAGACUCAGUGAAAUUGAACUCGCUGUGAAGAUGCAGUGUACCCGCGGCAAGACGGAAAGACCCCGUGAACCUUUACUAUAGCUUGACACUGAACAUUGAGCCUUGAUGUGUAGGAUAGGUGGGAGGCUUUGAAGCGUGGACGCCAGUCUGC